UACGGGGGGGGCAAGCGUUGUUCGGAAUUACUGGGCGUAAAGGGCGCGUAGGCGGCCUGCUAAGUCGGACGUGAAAUCCCUCGGCUUAACCGGGGAACUGCGUCUGAUACUGGAUGGCUUGAGUUUGGGAGAGGGAUGCGGAAUUCCAGGUGUAGCGGUGAAAUGCGUAGAUAUCUGGAGGAACACCGGUGGCGAAGGCGGCAUCCUGGACCAACACUGACGCUGAGGAGCGAAAGCCAGGGGAGCAAACGGG
This 253-nucleotide ribosomal RNA is filed under the name uncultured bacterium. RNAcentral's name for it is "partial 16S ribosomal RNA". It matches the Rfam family "Bacterial small subunit ribosomal RNA", at positions 524 to 776 of the family's 1533-position model. The record is from RNAcentral.